Molecule: ribosomal RNA, 2050 nt
Filed under: human gut metagenome
Description: bacterial LSU rRNA
Rfam family: Bacterial large subunit ribosomal RNA
Source: RNAcentral
UAAAGCUACAAAGAGCUAAUGGGGAAUGCCUUGGUACUGACAGCCGACGAAGGACGUGUAAAGCUGCGAUAAGCCACGGGGAACUGCUAAAAGGUCUUGAUCCGUGGAAAUCCGAAUGGGGAAACCCUCCAGAGUUAAAACUUUGGAACCCGUAACUGAAUACAUAGGUUGCGCGGAGGAAAGCCUGUGAACUGAAACAUCUUAGUAACAGGACGAAGAGAAAAUAAACCAAUGAUUCCGAGAGUAGCGGCGAGCGAAAUUGGAAGAGCCUAAAUUGUGUGUACGUGAUAGCCUGCAAGCGUUGUGCACAUGAGGUUGUGGGACUUGCAUCAUAUUUUGCAGAAUAUGGAUUGAGUUAGAAAAUUAUUUAUUAGUUAAAGUCAACUGGGAAGUUGCGCCAUAGAGAGUGAUAGCCUCGUAAACGACAAUAAAUAAUCUCAAGUAAGUAUCCCGAGUAAGGCGGGGCACGUGAAACCCUGUCUGAAUCCACCGGGACCAUCCGGUAAGGCUAAAUACUAGUCAGUGACCGAUAGUGAACGAGUACAGUGAUGGAAAGGCGAAAAGAACAGUGAGAAGCUGAGUGAAAUAGACCCUGAAACCGUUAGCUUACAACCAGUCAGAGCACAAUUAAUUGUGUGAUGGCGUGCCUGUUGAAGAAUGAGCCGGCGAGUUAUUUUUUGUUGCGAGGUUAAGGAGAUCAUAUCCGGAGCCACAGGGAAACCGAGUCUGAAUAGGGCGUUAAGUAACAGGAAAUAGACCCGAACCUUGGUGAUCUAACCUUGACCAGGAUGAAGCGUGGGUAACACUACGUGGAGGUCCGAACCAACCGAUGUUGAAAAAUCGGUGGAUGAGUUGAGGUUAGGGGUGAAAUGCCAAUCGAACCAAGAGCUAGCUGGUUCUCCCCGAAAUGCGUUUAGGCACAGCGUUGGAUUUAUCUUGCAGGAGGUAGAGCACUGGUUUUGUGCGGGCGUCGAAAUGAUGUACCAAACAAUGUCAAACUCCGAAUACCUGUAAUGUCAUUAUCCAGCAGUGAGGCUAUGAGUGAUAAGAUCCAUGGCCAAGAGGGAAACAGCCCAGAACGCCAGUUAAGGUCCCUAAUAUAUGCUAAGUGGUUAAGGAGGUAGAGUUACUGAGACAACCAGGAGGUUGGCUUAGAAGCAGCCAUCCCUUGAAAGAGUGCGUAAUAGCUCACUGGUCAAGUGACUCCGCGCCGAAAAUACACCGGGACUAAAGCAUAUAACCGAAGCUGCGUCAUAUAGUUUACUAUAUGGGUAGGGGAGCGUACUGUAGUAAGACGAAGCUAGAGUGAAAACACUAGUGGAUGAGGCAGUAGUGAGAAUGUCGGCAUAAGUAGCGAAAACAUUGGUGAGAAUCCAAUGCACCGAAAACCUAAGGUUUCCCACGGCAGGCUCGUCCGCGUGGGGUUAGUCGGAUCCUAAGCUCAGGCCAAACGGCGUAGGCGAUGGACAAUAGGUUGAUAUUCCUAUACUAUCUGAUAAUCGUUAUCAGAAGCGGAGGGACGCAAGAGGAUAAGCACGCAGUCGAAUGGAAGAGACUGUAUAAGCGUGUAGCUAGGUUUGACAGGAAAAUCCGUCAAAUCGUUAAUGUGAGGCGUGAUGUGGAGAGUCUACGGACUUGAAGGUGUUGACUCCAAAUUGCCAAGAAAAUCUUCGCUCUCGAGAUUAUUGGGUAUCCGUACCGUAAACCGCCACAGGUAGGUUGGUAGAAAAUACUAAGGUGCGCGAGACAACUCUCGCUAAGGAACUCGGCAAAAUCACCUCGUAACUUCGGGAGAAGAGGUACCCUGGUAGCGUGAAGCGAUUUACUCGUGAAGCGUGAUAGGGUCGCAGUGAAUAGGCCCAAGCGACUGUUUACCAAAAACACAGGUCUCUGCUAAGUCGAUCAAGACGAUGUAUAGGGGCUGACGCCUGCCCGGUGUCGGAAGGUUACGCGGAAAUGUUAGAAGCAAUUCAAAGCAUCGAAGCUAAGCCCCGAUGAACGGCGGCCGUAACUAUAACGGUCCUAAGGUAGCGAAAUUCCUUGUCAGGUA